AGUGACGUCAAGUCAGCAUGGCCUUUAUAUCCCGGGCUACACACACGCUACAAUGGGAAGGGACAAUAGGUUGCGAAGCCGCGAGGCGGAGCCAAUCCAGCAAAACUUCCUCAGUUCAGAUUGCAGGCUGCAACUCGCCUGCAUGAAGUUGGAGUUGCUAGUAAACGCAGGUCAGCCAUACUGCGUUGAAUACCGGUUCCCGGGGCUU
This 208-nucleotide ribosomal RNA is filed under the name uncultured Anaerolineaceae bacterium. RNAcentral's name for it is "partial 16S ribosomal RNA". It matches the Rfam family "Bacterial small subunit ribosomal RNA", at positions 1178 to 1382 of the family's 1533-position model. Lineage: Bacteria; Bacillati; Chloroflexota; Anaerolineae; Anaerolineales; Anaerolineaceae. The record is from RNAcentral.